This 51-nucleotide transfer RNA is filed under the name Gryllodes sp. RNAcentral describes it as "tRNA-Val". The record is from RNAcentral. Lineage: Eukaryota; Metazoa; Arthropoda; Insecta; Orthoptera; Gryllidae.
CAAAGUAGAGCUUGAGUAGUGAGCGUUCCAUUUACAUUGGAGGGGUUUUGU